RNAcentral lists this ribosomal RNA (294 nucleotides) under uncultured bacterium. RNAcentral's name for it is "partial 16S ribosomal RNA". It matches the Rfam family "Bacterial small subunit ribosomal RNA", at positions 775 to 1067 of the family's 1533-position model. The record is from RNAcentral.
GGAUUAGAUACCCUGGUAGUCCACGCCGUAAACGUUGAGUGCUCGUCGUAGUGGGUAUUGACCCCUGCUGUGACUAAGUUAACGCGAGAAGCACUCCGCCUGGGAAGUACGGCCGCAAGGCUAAAACUCAAAGAAAUUGACGGGGGCCCGCACAAGCGGUGGAGCAUGUGGUUUAAUUCGAAGCUACGCGCAGAACCUUACCUGGGUUUGACAUCCUCGGAAUCUCUUCGAAAGUUGAGAGUGCCUUCGGGAACCGAGUGACAGGUGCUGCAUGGCUGUCGUCAGCUCGUGUCG